Molecule: ribosomal RNA, 374 nt
Filed under: uncultured organism
Description: partial 16S ribosomal RNA
Rfam family: Bacterial small subunit ribosomal RNA
Source: RNAcentral
GAGGGGGUGCGAGCGUUAUUCGGAAUCAUUGGGCGUAAAGGGCGCGUAGACGGCGCGUUAAGCUUGUUGUUAAAUUCUCCGGGCUUAACCGGGGGUCAGCAGUGAGAACUGGCGUGCUUGAGGGUGGAAGAGAGAAGUGGAAUUCCCGGAGUAGCGGUAAAAUGCGUGGAUCUCGGGAGGAACACCGAUGGCGAAGGCAGCUUCUUGGUCCAUUCCUGACGUUGAGGCACGAAAGCGUGGGGAGCGAACAGGAUUAGAUACCCUGGUAGUCCACGCCGUAAACGAUGAUCACUAGACGUUAGCCUAGCUUUGCUGGGUUAGUGUCGAAGCUAACGCGUUAAGUGAUUCGCCUGGGGACUACGAUCGCAAGAUUA